RNAcentral lists this ribosomal RNA (441 nucleotides) under uncultured soil bacterium. RNAcentral's name for it is "bacterial SSU rRNA". It matches the Rfam family "Bacterial small subunit ribosomal RNA", at positions 26 to 518 of the family's 1533-position model. The record is from RNAcentral.
AGAACGAACGCUGGCGGCAGGCCUAACACAUGCAAGUCGAACGCCCCGCAAGGGGAGUGGCAGACGGGUGAGUAACGCGUGGGAACCUUCCCUAUGGUUCGGAAUAGCUCAGGGAAACCUGGGGUAAUACCGGAUAAGCCCUUCGGGGGAAAGAUUUAUCGCCAUUGGAUGGGCCCGCGUAGGAUUAGCUAGUUGGUGAGGUAACGGCUCACCAAGGCGACGAUCCUUAGCUGGUCUGAGAGGAUGGAUCAGCCACACUGGGACUGAGACACGGCCCAGACUCCUACGGGAGGCAGCAGUGGGGAAUAUGGACAAUGGGCGAAAGCCUGAUCCAGCCAUGCCGCGUGAGUGACGAAGGCCUUAGGGUUGUAAAGCUCUUUUGGCGGGAAGAUAAUGACGGUACCGCAGAAUAAGCUCCGGCUAACUCGCGCCAGCAGCCGC